UAUCUCUGUAGAGUCUGCAUAUCAAUAAGCGGAGGAAAAGAAACUAACAUAGGAUUCCCUUAGUAACGGCGAGUGAAGCGGGAAGAGCUCAAAUUUGAAAUCUUCAAGGUUCUACCUUGACGAAUUGUAGUUUAAAGAAGUGUUUUCUGUUAGGAGUUUGAGUAGCAAAAGUUCCUUUGGAAUAGGGACAUCAUAGAGGGUGAGAAUCCCGUAUUUGACCAUUACUUUCCAGCGUUGUGAUACACUUUCAAAGAGUCGGAUUGUUUGGGAAUGCAGUCCAAAAUGGGUGGUAAAUUUCAUCUAAAGCUAAAUACUGGCGAGAGACCGAUAGCGAACAAGUACCGUGAGGGAAAGAUGAAAAGAACUUUGAAAAGAGAGUUAAACAGUACGUGAAAUUGUCAAAAGGGAAGCGUUUGACACCAGUGUUGUUUUCUCGAAAAUCAAUUAAAAAUGGCUUGAUUUUGUGUUGUAUUGACCUUAAAAGCUUUCUUCACUUUUUUCAUGUCUUUUUUAAUGCACUUUUCGUUUAACAAGUCAACAUCAGUUUCUUUUGUUGUAAAAGAGGUCAUUGGAAGGUGGCUUUCACUUUCGGAUGAAAGUGUUUAUAGCCUUUGGCCUCUGCAAUCGGAGAGAUUGAGGUCUGCAGCGUAGAUCCUUCGGGGUUAGAUACAGUUAGAUGCUAAGUUAUAGCCUUUUCUAUAGACAACUUGUUGACUAUAAUUCAUCAUGUAGCUUACUCGCUUAUGCUAUUUUACCUACGCUUAGGAUGUUGAAGAUGUAGCACAUCAU
RNAcentral lists this ribosomal RNA (789 nucleotides) under uncultured Neocallimastigales. RNAcentral describes it as "partial large subunit ribosomal RNA". It matches the Rfam family "Eukaryotic large subunit ribosomal RNA", at positions 24 to 635 of the family's 3401-position model. The record is from RNAcentral. Lineage: Eukaryota; Fungi; Neocallimastigomycota; Neocallimastigomycetes; Neocallimastigales.